Molecule: ribosomal RNA, 497 nt
Filed under: uncultured bacterium
Lineage: Bacteria
Description: partial 16S ribosomal RNA
Rfam family: Bacterial small subunit ribosomal RNA
Source: RNAcentral
GAUGAACGCUGGCGGCGUGCCUAAUACAUGCAAGUCGAGCGAACAGACGAGGAGCUUGCUCCUCUGACGUUAGCGGCGGACGGGUGAGUAACACGUGGAUAACCUACCUAUAAGACUGGGAUAACUUCGGGAAACCGGAGCUAAUACCGGAUAAUAUAUUGAACCGCAUGGUUCAAUAGUGAAAGACGGUUUUGCUGUCACUUAUAGAUGGAUCCGCGCCGCAUUAGCUAGUUGGUAAGGUAACGGCUUACCAAGGCGACGAUGCUUAGCCGCCCUGAGAGGGUGAUCGGACACACUGGAACUGAGAAACGGCCCAGACUCCUACGGGAGGCAGCAGUAGGGAAUCUUCCGCAAUGGGCGAAAGCCUGACGGAGCAACGCCGCGUGAGUGAUGAAGGUCUUCGGCUCGUAAAACUCUGUUAUUAGGGAAGAACAAAUGUGUAAGUACCUAUGCACGUCUUGACGGUACCUAAUCAGAAAGCCACGGCUAACUACGUG